Molecule: ribosomal RNA, 639 nt
Filed under: uncultured bacterium
Lineage: Bacteria
Description: bacterial SSU rRNA
Rfam family: Bacterial small subunit ribosomal RNA
Source: RNAcentral
CGCGGCCUAUCAGCUUGUUGGUGGGGUAACGGCCCACCAAGGCAUCGACGGGUAGCUGGUUUGAGAGAACGAUCAGCCACACUGGGACUGAGACACGGCCCAGACUCCUACGGGAGGCAGCAGUGGGGAAUCUUGCGCAAUGGGCGAAAGCCUGACGCAGCAACGCCGCGUGCGGGAUGACGGCCUUCGUGGUUGUAAACCGCUUUCAGCAGGGACGAAAAUGACGGUACCUGCAGAAGAAGCCCCGGCUAACUACGUGCCAGCAGCCGCGGUAAUACGUAGGGGGCAAGCGUUGUCCGGAUUCAUUGGGCGUAAAGAGCUCGUAGGCGGUUCAGUAAGUCAAGUGUGAAAGCUCCGAGCUCAACUCGGAGAGGCCACUUGAUACUGCUGUGACUAGAAUCCAGUAGGGGAGCGUGGAACUCCUGGUGUAGCGGUGAAAUGCGCAGAUAUCAGGAAGAACACCAGCGGCGAAGGCGGCGCUCUGGGCUGGAAUUGACGCUGAGGAGCGAAAGUGUGGGUAGCAAACAGGAUUAGAUACCCUGGUAGUCCACACCGUAAACGUUGGGCACUAGGUGUGGGGAGGAUCAACCCUUUCCGUGCCGUAGCUAACGCAUUAAGUGCCCCGCCUGGGGAGUACGG